RNAcentral lists this long non-coding RNA (300 nucleotides) under Solanum tuberosum (potato). RNAcentral's name for it is "long non-coding RNA (STUB_LNC007046)". The record is from RNAcentral. Lineage: Eukaryota; Viridiplantae; Streptophyta; Magnoliopsida; Solanales; Solanaceae.
AUUUACCAAAUUUAAAAGGUGGAAAUUAGAUCAACAUAUUUUUGAGCUAAGAAUACUGAAUGCACUGUCUUAUUUCAUUGAUUAUCAUUUAGACAUAAGAAAUGUAUUUAUAUUUUUUUCCGGUAAAGAGAAUGAUGGUAGAUUAUAUAUGUUUAUAUCAGUAAGAAAGCAUAGUCCUAUCAAUUUAAUUAGAGAGAACACCUAAAAAUCCUCCUAAACAAUUCGAGUUUUGCAACUUUCAUACUUUACUAAUAGAGUAAUCGUAUUUAUUUUCCACUAUCAAUCUUUUUAUUUAUGUAG